GACGAACGCUGGCGGCGUGCUUAACACAUGCAAGUCGAACGGAAAGGCCCUGCUUUUGUGGGGUGCUCGAGUGGCGAACGGGUGAGUAACACGUGAGUAACCUGCCCUUGACUUUGGGAUAACUUCAGGAAACUGGGGCUAAUACCGGAUAGGAGCUCCUGCUGAAUGGUGGGGGUUGGAAAGUUUCGGCGGUUGGGGAUGGACUCGCGGCUUAUCAGCUUGUUGGUGGGGAAGUGGCUUACCAAGGCUUUGACGGGUAGCCGGCCUGAGAGGGUGACCGGGCAUAAGGGGAUAAAGAUAGGGGCCAGACUGCUACGGGAGGGAGCAGUCGGGAAUAUCGCACAGUGGCCUGAAGCCUUCUGCAGCAACCCCGCGUGCGGGCAGACGGCCUUCGGGUUGUAAGCCGCUUUCGCCUUCUACAGACCGAGAGUGACCGAACUGGGUAAAGAAGCACCGGCUAACUACGUG
Molecule: ribosomal RNA, 468 nt
Filed under: uncultured bacterium
Lineage: Bacteria
Description: partial 16S ribosomal RNA
Rfam family: Bacterial small subunit ribosomal RNA
Source: RNAcentral